CCCCGCUCUGUCUAGGUCGCUAUGAUUCUCGAAAGUCGUCGACAAGAAGUUGAGUUUGGAGCGGGUACGCUACCUCGCUGCAAGAGGUCGCUCUGGUACAGAGCGGGUGUCAUACCUCGCUCCAGUGGGUCGCUCUACACUUCACUCGUCCAGAGUGGGUGCAUCACCUCGCUCCAGCUCCUCUACUCGCCCAAUGAUCAUUUUCUACUUCU
Molecule: long non-coding RNA, 212 nt
Filed under: Brassica napus (rape)
Lineage: Eukaryota; Viridiplantae; Streptophyta; Magnoliopsida; Brassicales; Brassicaceae
Description: long non-coding RNA (BNAP_LNC002851)
Source: RNAcentral